This 113-nucleotide non-coding RNA is filed under the name Streptomyces albus. The record is from RNAcentral. Lineage: Bacteria; Bacillati; Actinomycetota; Actinomycetes; Kitasatosporales; Streptomycetaceae.
AAGCCGGUGGGAUUCCGGCGCUGACCUGCAACCGUGAGCGGCCUGGGGCCUUUCUUUCAGAUCGGGCUGGAUCAGGGAGCGCGGGCUGGUGCGUGCAGCUGCAAGGCGGAGGA